GAUCAUGGCUCAGGAUGAACGCUAGCUACAGGCUUAACACAUGCAAGUCGAGGGGCAGCAUGGUCUUAGCUUGCUAAGACUGAUGGCGACCGGCGUACGGGUGAGUAACACGUAUCCAACCUGCCUACCACUUGGGGAUAACCUUGCGAAAGUAAGACUAAUACCCAAUGACAUCCCACGAAGACAUCUGAAUGGGAUUAAAGAUUUAUCGGUGAUGGAUGGGGAUGCGU
RNAcentral lists this ribosomal RNA (230 nucleotides) under uncultured bacterium. Its description in RNAcentral is "partial 16S ribosomal RNA". It matches the Rfam family "Bacterial small subunit ribosomal RNA", at positions 15 to 236 of the family's 1533-position model. The record is from RNAcentral.